Molecule: unclassified non-coding RNA, 333 nt
Filed under: soil metagenome
Description: partial contains 5.8S ribosomal RNA, internal transcribed spacer 2, and large subunit ribosomal RNA
Rfam family: 5.8S ribosomal RNA (bases 1-120)
Source: RNAcentral
GAUGAAGAACGUAGCGAAAUGCGAUAAGUAAUGUGAAUUGCAGAAUUCAGUGAAUCAUCGAAUCUUUGAACGCACAUUGCGCCCGCCAGUAUUCUGGCGAGCAUGCCUGUUCGAGCGUCAUUUCAACCAUCAAGCCCCAGGCUUGUGUUGGAGCCCUGCGGCUGCCGCAGCCUCCCAAAACCAGUGGCGGGCUCGCUAUCACACCGAGUGCAGUAGUUUACUCUUCGCUCAGGGCGUGUGGCGGGUGCUAGCCGUGAAACCCCCAACUUCUCAAGGUUGACCUCGGAUCAGGUAGGAAUACCCGCUGAACUUAAGCAUAUCAAUAAGCGAGGA